Molecule: transfer RNA, 67 nt
Filed under: Dodona dipoea
Lineage: Eukaryota; Metazoa; Arthropoda; Insecta; Lepidoptera; Riodinidae
Description: tRNA-Met
Source: RNAcentral
UUAAAAAUAAGCUAAACGAAGCUUUUGGGUUCAUACCCCAAAUAUAAAGAAAAAUCUUUUUUUUAAA